GGCAACAUAACGCAAACUCGGAACAAUCGAGUUCCAAUUCCAAAGUAGGGCAGAACUCUCUCAAGAUGCUAAUAUGACAACGUGUCAGCAGAAGACAUUGUCAAGGGUUAAAUCAAAUUGAAGGGAUGUUGUCACCAGCAUCAAGGCACAAUGUUGGUAAACUGAAGCCUAGGGCAAACCCUUUCGAAGUGCUCGAUGACAACAUUUCCCUGAUCAGGAAGAAGGAAAAGGAGAGCAGGAAACUGAGCCAGUUGGGCUUGCAGGUUCAUGAGAAGGUGACAUAUGCAGGCCGUAUGAAGGCCAAGCAGGCUGAUCUCCGCAGGAAGCUGAGAGAGGGGCUGGAGGAAGAGGACAUAGCCCAGCAAGGAGGGGAGGAGAGCAGGCUGGCCGAGCUACAAAACACCCCUGCCUGGAGGGCGGCCAUGAUCAAAGAUUGUAAUAUAGACAAAGAGAGCAUAAAUGAGUUUAUCAACCAGAAAAAGGAGAUGUUUCUGUUGGAGGUAAGAAGGGAACAACAGUCCAUAUAAACUGACCUGGUAAUCAUGUUAUGAUCUUGAUCGACUACAACUGGAAUGUGUUUGCAGAUAUUCGGUCUUUACACAAUUGAUAAUGUAAUUGUUAUGUAUUCAUUGUCUUUAUUGGUUUUCACUAGUGAAGGGUAGCCCAUGUGUAGGUACAGUCAAUACAAGCUUUCUCCACCUCCCACAUGUUUCUGGGAUUCUCCACCUACAUCUAUCUAUCUAUCUAUCUAUCUAUCUAUCUAUCUAUCUAUCUAUCUAUCUAUCUAUCUAUCUAUCUAUCUAUCUAUCUAUCUAUCUAUCUAUCUAUCUAUCUAUCUAUCUAUCUAUCUAUCUAUCUAUCUAUCUAUCUAUCUAUCUAUCUAUCUAUCACCACCACCACCACCACAGGAGGUUGGUGGCAACUUAAUUGGGGAGGACGGGCUCGUGGUAACGGCUGGAGCGGAGUAGGUGGAAAGGCAUCAAAUACAUGAAACAUAUGGUUUGAUACCAUUCCAUUG
RNAcentral lists this long non-coding RNA (1018 nucleotides) under Oncorhynchus kisutch (coho salmon). RNAcentral describes it as "lncRNA (ENSOKIG00005040132.1)". The record is from RNAcentral. Lineage: Eukaryota; Metazoa; Chordata; Actinopteri; Salmoniformes; Salmonidae.